Molecule: ribosomal RNA, 729 nt
Filed under: Enterobacter cloacae
Lineage: Bacteria; Pseudomonadati; Pseudomonadota; Gammaproteobacteria; Enterobacterales; Enterobacteriaceae
Description: bacterial SSU rRNA
Rfam family: Bacterial small subunit ribosomal RNA
Source: RNAcentral
UGGCGGCAGGCCUAACACAUGCAAGUCGAACGGUAGCACAGAGAGCUUGCUCUCGGGUGACGAGUGGCGGACGGGUGAGUAAUGUCUGGGAAACUGCCUGAUGGAGGGGGAUAACUACUGGAAACGGUAGCUAAUACCGCAUAACGUCGCAAGACCAAAGAGGGGGACCUUCGGGCCUCUUGCCAUCAGAUGUGCCCAGAUGGGAUUAGCUAGUAGGUGGGGUAACGGCUCACCUAGGCGACGAUCCCUAGCUGGUCUGAGAGGAUGACCAGCCACACUGGAACUGAGACACGGUCCAGACUCCUACGGGAGGCAGCAGUGGGGAAUAUUGCACAAUGGGCGCAAGCCUGAUGCAGCCAUGCCGCGUGUAUGAAGAAGGCCUUCGGGUUGUAAAGUACUUUCAGCGGGGAGGAAGGUGUUGUGGUUAAUAACCGCAGCAAUUGACGUUACCCGCAGAAGAAGCACCGGCUAACUCCGUGCCAGCAGCCGCGGUAAUACGGAGGGUGCAAGCGUUAAUCGGAAUUACUGGGCGUAAAGCGCACGCAGGCGGUCUGUCAAGUCGGAUGUGAAAUCCCCGGGCUCAACCUGGGAACUGCAUUCGAAACUGGCAGGCUGGAGUCUUGUAGAGGGGGGUAGAAUUCCAGGUGUAGCGGUGAAAUGCGUAGAGAUCUGGAGGAAUACCGGUGGCGAAGGCGGCCCCCUGGACAAAGACUGACGCUCAGGUGCGAA